Molecule: ribosomal RNA, 416 nt
Filed under: Salmonella enterica subsp. enterica
Lineage: Bacteria; Pseudomonadati; Pseudomonadota; Gammaproteobacteria; Enterobacterales; Enterobacteriaceae
Description: bacterial SSU rRNA
Rfam family: Bacterial small subunit ribosomal RNA
Source: RNAcentral
UAUCCUUUGUUGCCAGCGAUUCGGUCGGGAACUCAAAGGAGACUGCCAGUGAUAAACUGGAGGAAGGUGGGGAUGACGUCAAGUCAUCAUGGCCCUUACGACCAGGGCUACACACGUGCUACAAUGGCGCAUACAAAGAGAAGCGACCUCGCGAGAGCAAGCGGACCUCAUAAAGUGCGUCGUAGUCCGGAUUGGAGUCUGCAACUCGACUCCAUGAAGUCGGAAUCGCUAGUAAUCGUGGAUCAGAAUGCCACGGUGAAUACGUUCCCGGGCCUUGUACACACCGCCCGUCACACCAUGGGAGUGGGUUGCAAAAGAAGUAGGUAGCUUAACCUUCGGGAGGGCGCUUACCACUUUGUGAUUCAUGACUGGGGUGAAGUCGUAACAAGGUAACCGUAGGGGAACCUGCGGUUGGA